GACGAACGCUGGCGGCGUGCUUAACACAUGCAAGUCGAACGGAAAGGCCUGCUUUCCCUUGUGGAUUGCGGGUACUCGAGUGGCGAACGGGUGAGUAACACGUGAUUGAUCUGCCCCCAACUUGGGUAUAAGCCUGGGAAACUGGGUCUAAUUCCCGAUAGGACUGCAGGGUGGUGCCUGUGGUGGAACACGAUUUUCUAGUGGUUGGGGAUGAGCUCGCGGCCUAUCAGCUUGUUGGUGGGGUAAUGGCCUACCAAGGCGGCGACGGGUAGCCGGCCUGAGAGGGUGGACGGCCACAUUGGGACUGAGAUACGGCCCAGACUCCUACGGGAGGCAGCAGUGGGGAAUAUUGCACAAUGGGCGGAAGCCUGAUGCAGCGACGCCGCGUGGGGGAUGACGGCCUUCGGGUUGUAAACUCCUUUCGACCGCGAGGAAGCCACCUGGUUGGAAGGGUGGUGACGGUAGUGGUAGAAGAAGCACCGGCUAACUACGUG
This 494-nucleotide ribosomal RNA is filed under the name uncultured bacterium. RNAcentral describes it as "partial 16S ribosomal RNA". It matches the Rfam family "Bacterial small subunit ribosomal RNA", at positions 28 to 507 of the family's 1533-position model. The record is from RNAcentral.